RNAcentral lists this transfer RNA (63 nucleotides) under Curculionidae sp. 1 AH-2016. Its description in RNAcentral is "tRNA-Ala". Lineage: Eukaryota; Metazoa; Arthropoda; Insecta; Coleoptera; Curculionidae. The record is from RNAcentral.
AGGAUAAUAGUUAAAAUAUAACCUUUAAGUUGCAUUUAAAAAUUAUUGAUACCAAUUUAUCUU